CCUACGGGAGGCUGCAGUCGGGAAUCUUUCACAAUGGGCGAAAGUCUGAUGGAGCAACGCCGCGUGCAGGAUGAAGGCUUUCGGGUUGUAAACUGCUUUUAUGAGCGAGAAAAAUGAUAGUAACUUAUGAAUAAGGAUCGGCUAACUAUGUGCCAGCAGCCGCGGUCAUACGUAGGAGCCGAGCAUUAUCCGGAGUGACUGGGUGUAAAGAGUUGGGUAGGUGGGAUAAUAAGUAGCUAGGGAAAUCGAGUGGGUCAACCAGUCAGACUAUUAGCUACACUGUUAUGCUCGAGAACGGUAGGGGAAAGUGGAAUUCCUAGUGUAGCAGUGAAAUGCGUAGAUAUUAGAAGGAACACCAAUAGCGUAGGCAGGUUUCUGGGACGGUUCUGACACUAAGGCACGAAAGCGUAGGGAGCAAACGGGAUUAGAUACCCCUGUAGUC
This 442-nucleotide ribosomal RNA is filed under the name uncultured bacterium. RNAcentral describes it as "partial 16S ribosomal RNA". It matches the Rfam family "Bacterial small subunit ribosomal RNA", at positions 338 to 795 of the family's 1533-position model. The record is from RNAcentral.